This 887-nucleotide ribosomal RNA is filed under the name uncultured bacterium. RNAcentral describes it as "bacterial SSU rRNA". It matches the Rfam family "Bacterial small subunit ribosomal RNA", at positions 8 to 916 of the family's 1533-position model. The record is from RNAcentral.
AGAGUUUGAUCAUGGCUCAGGACGAACGCUGGCGGCGUGCCUAACACAUGCAAGUCGAGCGAGUGGAGUUCUUCGGAACAAAGCUAGCGGCGGACGGGUGAGUAACACGUGGGCAACCUGCCUCAUAGAGGGGAAUAGCCUCCCGAAAGGGAGAUUAAUACCGCAUAAGAUUGUAGCUUCGCAUGAAGUAGCAAUUAAAGGAGCAAUCCGCUAUGAGAUGGGCCCGCGGCGCAUUAGCUAGUUGGUGAGGUAACGGCUCACCAAGGCGACGAUGCGUAGCCGACCUGAGAGGGUGAUCGGCCACAUUGGGACUGAGACACGGCCCAGACUCCUACGGGAGGCAGCAGUGGGGAAUAUUGCACAAUGGGGGAAACCCUGAUGCAGCAACGCCGCGUGGGUGAUGACGGCCUUCGGGUUGUAAAGCUCUGUCUUCAGGGACGAUAAUGACGGUACCUGAGGAGGAAGCCACGGCUAACUACGUGCCAGCAGCCGCGGUAAUACGUAGGUGGCGAGCGUUGUCCGGAUUUACUGGGCGUAAAGGGAGCUUAGGCGGACUUUUAAGUGAGAUGUGAAAUACCCGGGCUCAACUUGGGUGCUGCAUUUCAAACUGGAAGUCUAGAGUGCAGGAGAGGAGAAUGGAAUUCCUAGUGUAGCGGUGAAAUGCGUAGAGAUUAGGAAGAACACCAGUGGCGAAGGCGAUUCUCUGGACUGUAACUGACGCUGAGGCUCGAAAGCGUGGGGAGCAAACAGGAUUAGAUACCCUGUAGUCCACGCCGUAAACGAUGAAUACUAGGUGUAGGGGUUGUCAUGACCUCUGUGCCGCCGCUAACGCAUUAAGUAUUCCGCCUGGGAGUACGGUCGCAGAUUAAACUCAAAGGAAUUGACGG